Molecule: transfer RNA, 68 nt
Filed under: Lentisphaerae bacterium RIFOXYA12_64_32
Lineage: Bacteria; Pseudomonadati; Lentisphaerota
Description: tRNA-Arg
Source: RNAcentral
GUCUUCAUAGCGGAACCUACGGCCUUCUAAGCCGUAGGUCGCGCGUUCGAACCGCGCCCGGGGUGCCA